AAUCAACGCUGGCGGCGUGCCUAACACAUGCAAGUCGAACGCGAAAGGGGCUUCGGCCCUGAGUAGAGUGGCGAACGGGUGAGUAACACGUGGGUGAUCUACCUUCGAGUGGGGGAUAACGUCCCGAAAGGGACGCUAAUACCGCAUGACGUUCUGGGUUUAAAGACCUGGAAACCAAAGCCGGGGACCGCAAGGCCUGGCGCUUGGAGAGGAGCCCGCGUCCGAUUAGCUAGUUGGCGGGGUAACGGCCCACCAAGGCGACGAUCGGUAGCCGGCCUGAGAGGGCGGACGGCCACACUGGGACUGAGACACGGCCCAGACUCCUAC
RNAcentral lists this ribosomal RNA (327 nucleotides) under uncultured bacterium. RNAcentral describes it as "bacterial SSU rRNA". It matches the Rfam family "Bacterial small subunit ribosomal RNA", at positions 29 to 342 of the family's 1533-position model. The record is from RNAcentral.